This 522-nucleotide ribosomal RNA is filed under the name uncultured incertae sedis 5 bacterium. RNAcentral's name for it is "bacterial SSU rRNA". It matches the Rfam family "Bacterial small subunit ribosomal RNA", at positions 97 to 615 of the family's 1533-position model. The record is from RNAcentral.
GGCGAACGGGUGAGUAGCGCAUCGGAACGUGCCCAGUAGUGGGGGAUAGCUCGGCGAAAGCCGGAUUAAUACCGCAUACGACCCAUGGGUGAAAGCGGGGGACCGCAAGGCCUCGCGCUAUUGGAGCGGCCGAUGCCCGAUUAGCUAGUCGGUGAGGUAAAGGCUCACCAAGGCAACGAUCGGUAGCUGGUCUGAGAGGACGACCAGCCACACUGGGACUGAGACACGGCCCAGACUCCUACGGGAGGCAGCAGUGGGGAAUUUUGGACAAUGGGGGAAACCCUGAUCCAGCCAUGCCGCGUGCGGGAAGAAGGCCUUCGGGUUGUAAACCGCUUUUGGCAGGAACGAAACGGCGCGCGCUAAUACCACGCGCUAAUGACGGUACCUGCAGAAUAAGCACCGGCUAACUACGUGCCAGCAGCCGCGGUAAUACGUAGGGUGCAAGCGUUAAUCGGAAUUACUGGGCGUAAAGCGUACGCAGGCGGCUGUGCAAGACAGGUGUGAAAUCCCCGGGCCCAACCU